CGGGACGGGUGAGUAAUGUCUGGGAAACUGCCUGAUGGAGGGGGAUAACUACUGGAAACGGUAGCUAAUACCGCAUAACGUCGCAAGACCAAAGAGGGGGACCUUCGGGCCUCUUGCCAUCGGAUGUGCCCAGAUGGGAUUAGCUAGUAGGUGGGGUAACGGCUCACCUAGGCGACGAUCCCCAGCUGGUCUGAGAGGAUGACCAGCCACACUGGAACUGAGACACGGUCCAG
RNAcentral lists this ribosomal RNA (233 nucleotides) under uncultured bacterium. RNAcentral describes it as "partial 16S ribosomal RNA". It matches the Rfam family "Bacterial small subunit ribosomal RNA", at positions 100 to 334 of the family's 1533-position model. The record is from RNAcentral.